This 289-nucleotide ribosomal RNA is filed under the name Escherichia coli. RNAcentral describes it as "partial 16S ribosomal RNA". It matches the Rfam family "Bacterial small subunit ribosomal RNA", at positions 1 to 286 of the family's 1533-position model. The record is from RNAcentral. Lineage: Bacteria; Pseudomonadati; Pseudomonadota; Gammaproteobacteria; Enterobacterales; Enterobacteriaceae.
AAAUUGAAGAGUUUGAUCAUGGCUCAGAUUGAACGCUGGCGGCAGGCCUAACACAUGCAAGUCGAACGGUAACAGGAAGCAGCUUGCUGCUUUGCUGACGAGUGGCGGACGGGUGAGUAAUGUCUGGGAAACUGCCUGAUGGAGGGGGAUAACUACUGGAAACGGUAGCUAAUACCGCAUAACGUCGCAAGACCAAAGAGGGGGACCUUCGGGCCUCUUGCCAUCGGAUGUGCCCAGAUGGGAUUAGCUAGUAGGUGGGGUAAAGGCUCACCUAGGCGACGAUCCCUAG